RNAcentral lists this long non-coding RNA (400 nucleotides) under Elaeis guineensis (African oil palm). Its description in RNAcentral is "long non-coding RNA (EGUI_LNC080714)". The record is from RNAcentral. Lineage: Eukaryota; Viridiplantae; Streptophyta; Magnoliopsida; Arecales; Arecaceae.
GACCAUCUAGCAAUGGUACCCGACAUCCGGAUAGGUCGAAUGGUCGCAAUCACAAUACUCAGAACCUACAUGAAUAUGGUUACUGUAUAAUUCAUCCUUUUGACCCCUGUGUUUAGGAUGACUCAUGGUUAAACUGUCAACCCUGAUCAGAUCAUUCGAAUCGUGCUCAACUCAAACAGUCCUGUGACUCCUCACAAGGACUACCCUGGCCAAGGUUUUGCUAAAUUGAAAUAUGACUGUACACAGCUCCUAAACUGGAGUGGUCAAUCUCAUCUUGACACACGCACCGACAAGUCAAGUACUUGACUACACCCAGCAGCCUUCCAUCACUGAAUUAAAAAUUCAGGUAGUCCAGUGCCUAAGUGCAGUGAGUUGCUUGCAAGUCACCGUGGCGGUCUCA